RNAcentral lists this non-coding RNA (23 nucleotides) under Pteropus alecto (black flying fox). Its record names the gene pal-miR-99b-3p. Lineage: Eukaryota; Metazoa; Chordata; Mammalia; Chiroptera; Pteropodidae. RNAcentral also lists the same sequence under 2 other names. The record is from miRBase by way of RNAcentral.
CAAGCUCGUGUCUGUGGGUCCGU